RNAcentral lists this ribosomal RNA (447 nucleotides) under uncultured bacterium. RNAcentral describes it as "bacterial SSU rRNA". It matches the Rfam family "Bacterial small subunit ribosomal RNA", at positions 355 to 825 of the family's 1533-position model. The record is from RNAcentral.
UCGGGAAUUUUGGGCAAUGGGCGAAAGCCUGACCCAGCAACGCCGCGUGAAGGAUGAAGUAUUUCGGUAUGUAAACUUCGAAAGAAUAGGAAGAAUAAAUGACGGUACUAUUUAUAAGGUCCGGCUAACUACGUGCCAGCAGCCGCGGUAAUACGUAGGGACCAAGCGUUGUUCGGAUUUACUGGGCGUAAAGCGUGCGCAGGCGGUUAUAUAAGACAGAUGUGAAAUCCCCGGGCUCAACCUGGGAACUGCAUUUGUGACUGUAUAGCUAGAGUACGGUAGAGGGGGAUGGAAUUCCGCGUGUAGCAGUGAAAUGCGUAGAUAUGCGGAGGAACACCGAUGGCGAAGGCAAUCCCCUGGACCUGUACUGACGCUCAUGCACGAAAGCGUGGGGAGCAAACAGGAUUAGAUACCCAAGUAGUCCCUGAGCGGGCUGGCAAGGCGCAU